UUUAGCUACUGUUCAUUAGUUGAUGCUGAAACUGUUCUUACUGAAGUUUGAUUGAUAGCCUUAGACUGCCUUCUGCUUCAAAUUGAGGGUGACACCAUUGACUCUCCUGGUUCUCAGACCUCUGGAUAUGAGAUCUCUGGUGCAACUCACUCGACUUGCACCAAACAUUCUUAAAAUGUUUAUUGGGGUCAAGUGCAAUGGCUUGCACCUGCAAUCCCAGCGCUUUGGGAGGCCAAGGCAGGAGGACUGCUUGAGGCCAGGAGGUCAAGACCAGCCUGUACAACAAGACAGUUUGGCCAGGAAGUGACCGGCAAUGGAAAGAGGGAAAUAAUCAGCACAUCCCCAUGUGCGCCCAUCUCAGAGACACAAACUGAAUAACAACUCACUUGGCUUCAUAACCAAGACCUACUCUGAGGAAUUUCAUCUCUUCCUUGGAGACCUUGAUUGGCCUGCUAGGUUAAAGUAGAGACAGGAUUUCACCAUGUCGCCCAGGCUGAUCUCAGACUCCUGACCUGGAUCUUCCCACCUCAGCCUCUGAACGUGUUGGAUUACAGUUGAAGGUCUGGAAUUGAAACUCCUAUUGUGAUCUUGAGGGCUGUAACCCAGAGAAUCUGGUUCUUCCUGGAGUAUUUCAGCAGGGAUCAGCUUAAAUAAGUCCACUUGAAGUUCACAACUGCCAAAACCGCGUGUUCAGACUGAAAGGCUGGGAGCAUUUGAGACGCAUUUAUGAACUUCCACCAAGAUGAUCCGGCCGGCUGAAAUCACAGGGAGAGCGUCUGUUCAACAAACCCUUUCUUCUUGAUUGAAUUAGUGUUGCCCACUAACAGGAUGAGGAAUUCCCACUCCACAACCUGACUUUUUUUCCUCUUUCCACCUCCCGCCUCUCUCCAUCAAAAUGUAAACUUGAUUCCUGUGUCCUUUGCCGGAGCCUGGCUUCCCUGUAAGCCCAUCAUAAACAUCUUGGUAGAAAUGCAA
Molecule: long non-coding RNA, 975 nt
Filed under: Pongo abelii (Sumatran orangutan)
Lineage: Eukaryota; Metazoa; Chordata; Mammalia; Primates; Hominidae
Description: lincRNA
Source: RNAcentral